ACAGCAGCAGCCGCGGGAAAACAGAGGGUGCGAGCGUUAAUCGGAUUUACUGGGCGUAAAGCGUGCGUAGGCGGCUUUUUAAGUCGGAUGUGAAAUCCCUGAGCUUAACUUAGGAAUUGCAUUCGAUACUGGGAAGCUAGAGUAUGGGAGAGGAUGGUAGAAUUCCAGGUGUAGCGGUGAAAUGCGUAGAGAUCUGGAGGAAUACCGAUGGCGAAGGCAGCCAUCUGGCCUAAUACUGACGCUGAGGUACGAAAGCAUGGGGAGCAAACAGGAUUAGAUACCCCUGUAGUCCCUGUCUCUUAUAC
This 305-nucleotide ribosomal RNA is filed under the name uncultured bacterium. Its description in RNAcentral is "partial 16S ribosomal RNA". It matches the Rfam family "Bacterial small subunit ribosomal RNA", at positions 505 to 807 of the family's 1533-position model. The record is from RNAcentral.